Molecule: ribosomal RNA, 393 nt
Filed under: uncultured bacterium
Lineage: Bacteria
Description: partial 16S ribosomal RNA
Rfam family: Bacterial small subunit ribosomal RNA
Source: RNAcentral
AUACGGAGGAUCCGAGCGUUAUCCGGAUUUAUUGGGUUUAAAGGGCGCGUAGAUGGAUGUUUAAGUCAGUUGUGAAAGCUUGCGGCUCAACCGUAAAAUUGCAGUUGAUACUGGAUAUCUUGAGUGCAGUUGAGGCAGGCGGAAUUCGUGGUGUAGGGGUGAAAUGCUUAGAUAUCACGAAGAACACCGAUUGCGAAGGCAGCCUGCUAAGCUGCAACUGACAUUGAGGCUCGAAAGUGUGGGGAUCAAACAGGAUUAGAUACCCUGGUAGUCCACACGGUAAACGAUGAAUACUCGCUGUUUGCGAUAUACAGCAAGCGGCCAAGCGAAAGCGUUAAGUAUUCCACCUGGGGAGUACGCCGGCAACGGUGAAACUCAAAUGAAUUGACGGGG